RNAcentral lists this ribosomal RNA (371 nucleotides) under uncultured bacterium. Its description in RNAcentral is "bacterial SSU rRNA". It matches the Rfam family "Bacterial small subunit ribosomal RNA", at positions 527 to 896 of the family's 1533-position model. The record is from RNAcentral.
GUAGGAGGCGAGCGUUGUCCGGAGUUACUGGGCGUAAAGGGUGCGCAGGCGGCCCGGCAGGUGGGUGGGGAAAGCUCCUGGCUCAACUGGGAGAGGGCCAUGCAAACGGUCGGGCUUGAGGGUCGCAAAGGGGCGUGGAAUUCCGGGUGGAGCGGUGAAAUGCGUAAAGAUCCGGAGGAACACCGACGGCGAAGGCAGCGCCCUGGACGAUCCCUGACGCUCAGGCACAAAAGCUGGGGGAGCAAACAGGAUUAGAUACCCUGGUAGUCCCAGCUGUAAACGAUGUCCACCAGGUGCCGGGGGUAUCGACCCCCUCGGUGCCGCAGCUAACGUGAUGAGUGGACCGCCUGGGGAGUACGGCCGCAGGGUUA